RNAcentral lists this ribosomal RNA (253 nucleotides) under uncultured bacterium. RNAcentral describes it as "partial 16S ribosomal RNA". It matches the Rfam family "Bacterial small subunit ribosomal RNA", at positions 524 to 776 of the family's 1533-position model. The record is from RNAcentral.
UACGUAGGGGGCAAGCGUUAUCCGGAUUCACUGGGUGUAAAGGGAGCGCAGACGGCAGUGCAAGUCUGGAGUGAAAGCCCGGGGCCCAACCCCGGAACUGCUCUGGAAACUGUGCGGCUAGAGUACUGGAGGGGCAGGCGGAAUUCCUAGUGUAGCGGUGAAAUGCGUAGAUAUUAGGAGGAACACCAGUGGCGAAGGCGGCCUGCUGGACAGUAACUGACGUUGAGGCUCGAAAGCGUGGGGAGCAAACAGG